Molecule: small nuclear RNA, 175 nt
Gene: U1
Rfam family: U1 spliceosomal RNA
About the family: U1 is a small nuclear RNA (snRNA) component of the spliceosome (involved in pre-mRNA splicing). Its 5' end forms complementary base pairs with the 5' splice junction, thus defining the 5' donor site of an intron.
Source: Ensembl
AUACUUACAUGGCAGGGGAGAUACCAUGAUCACGAAGGUGGUUUUCCUGGGGUGAGACUUAUCCAUUGCACUCCGGAUGCACUGACCCCUGCGAUUUCCCCAAAUGUUGGAAACUCGACUGCAUAAUUUGUGGUAGUGGGGGACAAAAAAAAAAAGAAUAUGCUUCAUUUCCAUU